Long non-coding RNA from Heterocephalus glaber (naked mole-rat), 692 nucleotides. The record is from Ensembl. Lineage: Eukaryota; Metazoa; Chordata; Mammalia; Rodentia; Bathyergidae.
UGUGCCCGUGCGCAUGCGCACUGGGAAAGAAAAUGGACUCAAUGGGAGGACUUGCGCAGAUACCAGGACCCUCUGCUCUGAGCCACAAUGAAGAACUUUCCCAGACUAGGCAAGCCCAGGGCUCAUUGGAAAUAUGCUAAUGACCCUGCCAGACUCCAGCAUGAUGAGCAAUUUGGAACGCUGCCCUCUUGCCCACUGUGAUGGAGUGACUAUGCGGUCAGAGGUGUGGAGAGAAGAGAGGGCACAGGAGGACCAGUGAGGAGAGAGGAGAGUGUCAAUAGAACCCAUCAGCUACAUCCAAGACGCAUGGUGGAUUAUCUUGUUAAUGAUACAAAAUGAUUUUAUCCCUUCCUUCCCUGGACCCCUAAGGCAAGAACUGAGCUUCACUCUGCUAGAAGGUCAAUCGUUGGAAAUUGCUCAAAAGGAGUAAGGGAUUUAGUGCUGUAAAACAUUCAUGUAAGUUAACUGGAAGUGUAAAUCAAGAACCAGCAAAAAUAAACUGCUACAGUGCUGCUUCCCUGAUUGAAAUAUCAUCAUUAAUGUAGAAUUGACUUAAAUAAUUUUUACGAUCUUUCUUCUCUCAGGUAAUCAACAGUUGUUUCUUAAGAGAUAAAUUGUAUUCUUUUUGAAAUUAUUUGGGGAGGGGCAUAGCAUCAGGCAAGUAGUUCAAAAAAACAGUAAAUGAGUGACAG